CAGCCGCCGCGGUAAUACGUAGGUGGCAAGCGUUGUCCGGAAUUAUUGGGCGUAAAGCGCGCGCAGGCGGAUCAGUCAGUCUGUCUUAAAAGUUCGGGGCUUAACUCCGUGAUGGGAUGGAAACUGCUGAUCUAGAGUAUCGGAGAGGAAAGUGGAAUUCCUAGUGUAGCGGUGAAAUGCGUAGAUAUUAGGAAGAACACCAGUGGCGAAGGCGACUUCUGGACGAAAACUGACGCUGAGGCGCGAAAGCCAGGGGAGCGAACGGGAUUAGAUACCCCCGUAGUCCCUGUCUCUUAUACAC
Molecule: ribosomal RNA, 301 nt
Filed under: uncultured bacterium
Lineage: Bacteria
Description: partial 16S ribosomal RNA
Rfam family: Bacterial small subunit ribosomal RNA
Source: RNAcentral